CUACGUGCCAGCAGCCGCGGUAAUACGGAGGGUGCGAGCGUUAAUCGGAAUAACUGGGCGUAAAGGGCACGCAGGCGGUUAUUUAAGCAGGAUGUGAAAUCCCCGGACUCAACCUGGGAACUGCGUUCUGAACUGGAUAGCUAGAGUGUGUCAGAGGGGGGUAGAAUUCCACGUGUAGCAGUGAAAUGCGUAGAGAUGUGGAGGAAUACCGAUGGCGAAGGCAGCCCCCUGGGAUAACACUGACGUUCAUGCUCGAAAGCGUGGGUAGCAAACAGGAUUAGAUACCCUGGUAGUCCACGCCCUAAACGAUGUCGAUUAGCUGUUGGGCAACUUGAUUGCUUAGUAGCGUAGCUAACGCGUGAAAUCGACCGCCUGGGGAGUACGGUCGCAAGAUUAAAACUCAAAGGAAUUGACGGGGACCCGCACAAGCGGUGGAUGAUGUGGAUUAAUUCGAUGCAACGCGAAGAACCUUACCUGGUCUUGACAU
This 487-nucleotide ribosomal RNA is filed under the name uncultured bacterium. RNAcentral's name for it is "bacterial SSU rRNA". It matches the Rfam family "Bacterial small subunit ribosomal RNA", at positions 501 to 987 of the family's 1533-position model. The record is from RNAcentral.